GACGAGGGAUCCAAGCGUUGUUCGGAAUCAUUGGGCGUAAAGCGGGUGUAGGCGGCUUUAUAAGUCAGGUGUGAAAGCCCAGGGCUCAACCCUGGAAGUGCAUUUGAUACUGUAAAGCUUGAGUGUGGGAGAGGCUAGUGGAAUUCCAGGUGUAGUGGUGAAAUACGUAGAUAUCUGGAGGAACACCGGUGGCGAAGGCGGCUAGCUGGCCCAACACUGACGCUAAGAUCCGAAAGCGUGGGGAUCAAACAGG
This 253-nucleotide ribosomal RNA is filed under the name uncultured bacterium. Its description in RNAcentral is "partial 16S ribosomal RNA". It matches the Rfam family "Bacterial small subunit ribosomal RNA", at positions 524 to 776 of the family's 1533-position model. The record is from RNAcentral.